Molecule: ribosomal RNA, 432 nt
Filed under: uncultured bacterium
Lineage: Bacteria
Description: partial 16S ribosomal RNA
Rfam family: Bacterial small subunit ribosomal RNA
Source: RNAcentral
CCUACGGGGGGCAGCAGUGGGGAAUCUUGCACAAUGGGGGAAACCCUGAUGCAGCGACGCCGCGUGAGCGAUGAAGCCCUUCGGGGUGUAAAGCUCUUUCGGCAGGAACGCGGUACCUGAAGAAGAAGCUGCGGCUAACUACGUGCCAGCAGCCGCGGUAAUACGUAGGCAGCAAGCGUUGUUCGGAGUUACUGGGCGUAAAGAGUGUGUAGGCGGUGCUCUAAGUUUGGUGUGAAAUCUCCCGGCUCAACUGGGAGGGUGCGCCGAAAACUGGAGUGCUCGAGUAUGGGAGAGGAAAGCGGAAUUCCUGGUGUAGCGGUGAAAUGCGUAGAUAUCAGGAGGAACACCUGCGGUGUAGACGGCUUUCUGGACCAUACUGACGCUGAGACACGAAAGCGUGGGUAGCAAACAGGAUUAGAUACCCUUGUAGUC